RNAcentral lists this long non-coding RNA (2767 nucleotides) under Homo sapiens (human). Its description in RNAcentral is "HSALNT0142054". The record is from RNAcentral. Lineage: Eukaryota; Metazoa; Chordata; Mammalia; Primates; Hominidae.
CUUGGGUGCAAUGCUUAUCAUCCAGAAGAGAUCCACCUGUGGAACCUCUCCUUGUGCCCUGACCUGCAAAAGGAAAGAGCAGAAUUCCAGUGCCUACUGUGGUGGUACUUUCAACAGUUCUAGCUGUUGAGGCUUCUACUCUGCUCUAGAGCAGAGACUGACAGAGACUCUUGUAUGCAAAAAGCAGAAAAACAAAUCAGUGGAUGUGAAACAAGGAAGACAGCCAAUCAGAAAUCCUCAACUAAGGUGGGAAGAGAAGGUGUGAUGCUCCCCAAGAGAAUUUUAAUGAUGAGAUGAGUGCCACAUGGAUCUGUGCAUGCAGAAAGAUUGUUGCACCGAAGAAGAGGAACUCCAAAUUAAAAAUUUAGGAGUUAUACAGGGACUGCAGCUUCCUUUCUCUUCUCCUGAAAAAAGAAGAGAAACCAUAUUUCCCUAAGACAGAAGGAAGAUAAGAGUAUCACAAGGAUAACCUCUGUGAGUAGAGCAUGGCUUAUCUUCUUGGCCUAUUGAAGAUUUCAUCAAAGGUAUUUAGAUCCUAAAUCAUUGGUGGUGUGCUACACCCUUGUUUUGCUAAAGCCAACUUACCAACAGCCCGAGAAUGAAGCCAACACAGAACUGCUAGGAGAGAUUUGGAAGAAAGCAAAAGCAAAAACAAAAUGAAAACACCCUGCUUAAGCCUUUAAUUGCAGUUCUGUGCAUAGGAACAUUGACUUCCUGUAAUAAAAUUUUAUCUAAAAUAGUAGAGCAUGUUAGGGAGGUGUCUUUUCAGAACUUAUGUUUAUUAUUCUGGAAUAAACCAAAUUCAUCUCUGACUUGAAGUGAAGGUAAAAGAAAAAGAAACAUAAGCUAGACUACAAAAUUUCUAAUUCAUGAUGUCUUCCCAUAAGGACAUGACUUAUUUUACAAAAAUAGUUCCCUAAUCACUCUCUUCUCAAUGAAAACAUGUUUUGAUGAUUUACAUGGGCAUCUGGGACAUAUAACAUUCCUGCUGACUAGAGCCACGUGAAUGCAACUGUCAGUAGACAACUGUUUCUUCUGUUUUAUUUGGUGAAAGUAAUAUUUCUGUAAAAUAUGACAGCUUGGGGAAAUUUCUGCAUUCUCUAAGCAUACAGAUUGGGUUUAUAUUUACGAUUCCUCUAACACUUGAAAUCUUGUUUGUUUUGAAAUAUUUUGAUUUAAAGGAUUAAGGGCUUUUUUAGAAUUACAUAUCUUGUAUAAUAAAAUAUAAGAAUGUGGAUAAUAUGUACCUUAAUCUUUCUUCAGAGAUUCAUAAACUCUUUUCUAAGCUCUUCAUAACAUGAUUCACAAUAAGAUGGAAUGCUGUUAUUGUGCAGAAGAGAAUGAUACAAUUUUGCUUUAGUAAUGUGAAUGAGAGUAUUUACUAAACAUUAGGAUCUCGUAGCUUUUGUUGGAUAUAUUUAGAAAAAUAUGCAUGUGACAUGCGAAACAUAAUGAAAAAUAUAUUGACGUUAUUAACUAAAGAUUGCAGAUCAAAUCUGAAUUGCUAGGCAAAGAGGACAUUAACUCUUUUCCAUAUUCUACUGUAGAUUUACUUCCAUCUUCUCUAAAAAGAAUCUUUUUUAAUACAGGUGAACAAUUAGCCUGCCUUUGAAUAUUCCUUAGAAUUCAAAAUUAUCUUGAUUUAUCUAUUAAGACAAAUCUCACACAGGCCAUUAUGUCUUAGAAAUUCUGGGUACACUGCUCUUUUUUACUCGUUUAACACAUCGCAAACUGAAUUAAUCAAAUCUUUUAUUUUCUAAUUAGAUGUGGCUUUGAGCAAGACUUCUGCUUUAAAGACAAGCAUGGACAGGGAUAUAAUAAACACAUUUAUAUCAGUGUAUUCUUAAAAUUAAUAAUUUAAUUUAUAAAUACCUAAGCAUAUAAAAUAUGCUUAAAGAAAUAGUUGCUUCUAGGUUGCAAUUGUCACAUACAAUUCCUUAAAAAUAAAAUCUCAGUCUCUUUGAAUAUAUAACUGGAUUAAUGGUCACUGUAAUGAUCUUUAAAUUACUGUUUUAAAGCGUGAUGGAUUUAAAUAGGUUUAUAAAGGAUAAAACAUACAUGCUCUUAUUUAUUUAGCAAUAAUUUACUAAAAUAACAGUAAAAAUUCAUGUAAUUAUUUUCUUUCUGUAUAUGUAAUAAAAUAAAAAUAUUACCUGCUUAAAUGUUGGCAGAGAAUAUUUAUUUACUUUGACAAAUGUUUCAUUAGAGUUAGCACCUCUACCAUCAAUUAGCAUUCCAUAGUUUUAUAGCUAAUAUACAACUUAUAAUCUGCCAUCUUCCAAACCAUUUGUUCUGGAAUAUCAUUUUUGUAUUAUGUUGUCUAUUGAAGUUUAGAGAGUCACAUAUAUAAUUUAUGCAUUGUAAUGUAGAACCAUUUCUAAACGUUUGUCUCAGGGCAAUAAUGCAUCUGACAUAAGGAAGUAUUAUCUAUGUUUUUUCUAGUUUUAAAUAUCUAUCAUGCCGCAUACAAUGAGACACUUAAUUACUCUAGUUCUGUUCCAUGUUUCUAGUGCUAUGUGUUCCGUGAAAAAUCAGGAAUAGUUUAAUAAGCAAUAUUACUAAACUGGAUUAUGAAAUAAAUCACAAAAUACAAGUUCUUGUUAAUGGUGACUAUAUUUAAUAACAAUAGAUUGAAUACUCAAAAAUCACUAAGAGAAUAUAUUUUGUGUUCUCACCACAAAAGAAAUGAUAAGUGUAUUGGGUAAUGCAUAUGUUAAUCAGCUCUAAUUAGCCAUUCCACAACAAUACAUAUUUUAAAACUAUGUUG